UGGGGAAUAUUGGACAAUGGGGGCAACCCUGAUCCAGCAAUGCCGCGUGUGUGAAGAAGGCCUGCGGGUUGUAAAGCACUUUCAGUAAGGAGGAAAACUCAAAGGUUAAUAGCCUUUGGGCUUGACGUUACUUACAGAAGAAGCACCGGCUAACUCCGUGCCAGCAGCCGCGGUAAUACGGAGGGUGCGAGCGUUAAUCGGAAUUACUGGGCGUAAAGCGCGCGUAGGCGGCUUUGUAAGUCGGAUGUGAAAGCCCUGGGCUUAACCUGGGAAUUGCAUUCGAUACUGCAUGGCUAGAGUAUGGUAGAGGGUAGUGGAAUUCCUGGUGUAGCGGUGAAAUGCGUAGAUAUCAGGAGGAACAUCAGUGGCGAAGGCGGCUACCUGGACCAAUACUGACGCUGAGGUGCGAAAGCGUGGGGAGCAAACAGGAUUAGAUACCCCCGUAGUCC
This 449-nucleotide ribosomal RNA is filed under the name uncultured prokaryote. RNAcentral describes it as "bacterial SSU rRNA". It matches the Rfam family "Bacterial small subunit ribosomal RNA", at positions 355 to 796 of the family's 1533-position model. The record is from RNAcentral.